Molecule: ribosomal RNA, 509 nt
Filed under: uncultured Glomeromycotina
Lineage: Eukaryota; Fungi; Glomeromycota
Description: partial small subunit ribosomal RNA
Rfam family: Eukaryotic small subunit ribosomal RNA
Source: RNAcentral
CCAAUAGCGUAUAUUAAGGUUGCUGCGGUUAAAAAGCUCGUAGUUGAAUUUCGGGAUUGACACAUCGGUCGUGCCUUAAGGGGUAUGAACUGGCGUAGCCAAUUCCUCACCUUCUGGUGAAUUGUGAUGCCUCUUUAACUGGGUGUUUCAAUGAACUAGGACUUUUACUUUGAAAAAAUUAGAGUGUUUAAAGCAGGCAUUAUUUGCUUGAAUACAUUAGCAUGGAAUAAUAAAAUAGGGCGGAUGAUUCUAUUUUGUUGGUUUCUAGGAUCACUGUAAUGAUUAAUAGGGAUAGUUGGGGGCAUUAGUAUUCAAUUGUCAGAGGUGAAAUUCUUGGAUUUAUUGAAGACUAACUACUGCGAAAGCAUUUGCCAAGGAUGUUUUCAUUAAUCAAGAACGAAAGUUAGGGGAUCGAAGACGAUCAGAUACCGUCGUAGUCUUAACCAUAAACUAUGCCGACUAGGAAUCAGACGAUGUUAAUUUUUUAAUGACUCGUUUGGCACCUUACG